This 484-nucleotide ribosomal RNA is filed under the name uncultured bacterium. Its description in RNAcentral is "bacterial SSU rRNA". It matches the Rfam family "Bacterial small subunit ribosomal RNA", at positions 30 to 507 of the family's 1533-position model. The record is from RNAcentral.
AUUGAACGCUGGCGGCAGGCCUAACACAUGCAAGUCGAGCGGAUGAGUGGAGCUUGCUCCAUGAUUCAGCGGCGGACGGGUGAGUAAUGCCUAGGAAUCUGCCUGGUAGUGGGGGACAACGUUUCGAAAGGAACGCUAAUACCGCAUACGUCCUACGGGAGAAAGCAGGGGACCUUCGGGCCUUGCGCUAUCAGAUGAGCCUAGGUCGGAUUAGCUAGUAGGUGAGGUAAUGGCUCACCUAGGCGACGAUCCGUAACUGGUCUGAGAGGAUGAUCAGUCACACUGGAACUGAGACACGGUCCAGACUCCUACGGGAGGCAGCAGUGGGGAAUAUUGGACAAUGGGCGAAAGCCUGAUCCAGCCAUGCCGCGUGUGUGAAGAAGGUCUUCGGAUUGUAAAGCACUUUAAGUUGGGAGGAAGGGCAGUAAGUUAAUACCUUGCUGUUUUGACGUUACCAACAGAGUAAGCACCGGCUAACUUCGUG